AGAGUUUGAUCAUGGCUCAGGAUGAACGCUAGCUACAGGCUUAACACAUGCAAGUCGAGGGGCAGCAUGGUCUUAGCUUGCUAAGACCGAUGGCGACCGGCGCACGGGUGAGUAACGCGUAUCCAACCUGCCUUACACUCUUGGACAGCCUUCUGAAAGGGAGAUUAAUACAAGAUGUUAUCAUGAGUAAGCAUUUUCACAUGAUUAAAGGUUUACCGGUGUAAGAUGGGGAUGCGUUCCAUUAGAUAGUAGGCGGGUAACGCCACUAAUCUUCGAUGGAUAGGGUCUGAGAGGAAGUCCCCCANAUUGGAACUGAGACACGGUCCAAACUCCUACGGGAGGCA
RNAcentral lists this ribosomal RNA (344 nucleotides) under uncultured bacterium. RNAcentral describes it as "bacterial SSU rRNA". It matches the Rfam family "Bacterial small subunit ribosomal RNA", at positions 8 to 350 of the family's 1533-position model. The record is from RNAcentral.